GGGGAAUAUUGCACAAUGGACGGAAGUCUGAUGCAGCAACGCCGCGUGCGGGAUGACGGCCUUCGGGUUGUAAACCGCUUUCAUCCAUGACGAAGCGAGAGUGACGGUAGUGGGAGAAGAAGCACCGGCUAACUACGUGCCAGCAGCCGCGGUGAUACGUAGGGUGCGAGCGUUGUCCGGAUUUAUUGGGCGUAAAGAGCUUGUAGGCGGUUUGUUGCGUCGGAAGUGAAAACUCAGGGCUUAACUCUGAGCCUGCUUUCGAUACGGGCAGACUUGAGGAAGGUAGGGGAGAAUGGAAUUCCUGGUGAAGCGGUGGAAUGCGUAGAUAUCAGGAGGAACACCGGUGGCGAAGGCGGUUCUCUGGACCUUUCCUGACGCUGAGAAGCGAAAGCGUGGGGAGCAAACA
RNAcentral lists this ribosomal RNA (406 nucleotides) under uncultured Tessaracoccus sp. Its description in RNAcentral is "bacterial SSU rRNA". It matches the Rfam family "Bacterial small subunit ribosomal RNA", at positions 356 to 774 of the family's 1533-position model. Lineage: Bacteria; Bacillati; Actinomycetota; Actinomycetes; Propionibacteriales; Propionibacteriaceae. The record is from RNAcentral.